GGAGCAGUGAGUGAGCUCUGUCAGUCACUCCAUCCUUCCUAAAGCAGACACCUCUACCCUUGUGGAGCCUGACGCAACCAGUAAAAUCUAAACCCAGGGUCCCCUGCGGAGAAACUUUUGGCUGAACCUUCAACUCACAGGACUGACGUUAUUGAACCUACAGUGUCUUGUACCAGGUACUGAAUAAGUUUUCUACAACACAGAAAAAAAGACUUGAAGGCUUUUCCACCAAGGCUGAUUUUCAAAAAUUGGAAAGCUUCCUUUAAAUGCGAUGACACAAAAUCCCUGACUCAUCUUUAUGGAGUGCCUUGUAAUCUGUUGCUCCAAAAUACUAUUCAGCAAUAAACAUGAUUAUUGAUGUCAGAUCUCCAAGCAAGCUGCUGUAAGACAGUUUGAGUAUCCUAUGAAUUACAUGAUCCUGUCAUUUUUCUCUGAAACACAACGCAGAAUAAAGGUGCAGAAUGAAAGGCC
Long non-coding RNA from Gymnogyps californianus (California condor), 471 nucleotides. RefSeq lists it as uncharacterized. The transcript is spliced from 3 exons. NCBI's taxonomy places the organism in Eukaryota, Metazoa, Chordata, Aves, Accipitriformes, Cathartidae. The record is from RefSeq and is a predicted model, not a curated record.